GAUGAACGCUGGCGGCGUGCCUAAUACAUGCAAGUCGAGCGAACAGACGAGGAGCUUGCUCCUACGACGUUAGCGGCGGACGGGUGCGUAACACGUAGGUAACCUAACUCUAAGACUGGGAUAACUUCGGGAAACCGGAGCUAAUACCGGAUAAUAUUUCGAACCGCAUGGUUCCAUAGUGAAAGAAGGCAUUGCUAUCACUUAUAGAUUGCCCUGCGCCGUAUUAGCUAGUUGGUAAGGUAACGGCUUACCAAGGCAACGAUACGUAGCCGACCUGAGAGGGUGAUCGGCCACACUGGAACUGAGACACGGUCCAGACUCCUACGGGAGGCAGCAGUAGGGAAUCUUCCGCAAUGGGCGAAAGCCUGACGGAGCAACGCCGCGUGAGUGAUGAAGGUCUUCGGAUCGUAAAACUCUGUUAUUAGGGAAGAACAAACGUGUAAGUAACUGUGCACGUCUUGACGGUACCUAAUCAGAAAGCCACGGCUAACUACGUG
Molecule: ribosomal RNA, 497 nt
Filed under: uncultured bacterium
Lineage: Bacteria
Description: partial 16S ribosomal RNA
Rfam family: Bacterial small subunit ribosomal RNA
Source: RNAcentral